AGAGACAGCAGCCGCCGCGGUAAUACAGAGGGUGCGAGCGUUAAUCGGAUUUACUGGGCGUAAAGCGUGUGUAGGUUGUUGUUCAAGUCAGUUGUGAAAUCCCUGGGCUCAACCUGGGAACUGCUUCUGAGACUGAACGACUAGAGUACGGUAGAGGGUGGUGGAAUUUCCGGUGUAGCGGUGAAUGCGUAGAUAUCGGAAGGAACAUCAAUGGCGAAGGCAGCCACCUGGGCCUGUACUGACACUGAGACACGAAAGCGUGGGGAUCAAACAGGAUUAGAUACCCCCGUAGUCCCUGUCUCUUAUACA
RNAcentral lists this ribosomal RNA (309 nucleotides) under uncultured bacterium. Its description in RNAcentral is "partial 16S ribosomal RNA". It matches the Rfam family "Bacterial small subunit ribosomal RNA", at positions 504 to 808 of the family's 1533-position model. The record is from RNAcentral.